AACGUAGGUACCGAGCGUUAUCCGGAUUUACUGGGCGUAAAGCGCGUUCAGGCGGCUUAGCAAGUCGGGCAUGAAAUCUCUCGGCUCAACCGGGAGGGGCUGUCCGAUACUGCUGGGCUUGAGGGCAGUAGAGGGUGGUGGAAUUCCGGGUGUAGUGGUGAAAUGCGUAGAGAUCCGGAGGAACACCAGUGGCGAAGGCGGCCACCUGGACUGCCCCUGACGCUGCAACGCGAAAGCUAGGGGAGCGAACGGG
This 253-nucleotide ribosomal RNA is filed under the name uncultured bacterium. Its description in RNAcentral is "partial 16S ribosomal RNA". It matches the Rfam family "Bacterial small subunit ribosomal RNA", at positions 524 to 776 of the family's 1533-position model. The record is from RNAcentral.